RNAcentral lists this ribosomal RNA (361 nucleotides) under uncultured bacterium. RNAcentral's name for it is "bacterial SSU rRNA". It matches the Rfam family "Bacterial small subunit ribosomal RNA", at positions 29 to 416 of the family's 1533-position model. The record is from RNAcentral.
AACGAACGCUGGCGGCAUGCCUAACACAUGCAAGUCGAACGAGACCUUCGGGUCUAGUGGCGCACGGGUGCGUAACGCGUGGGAAUCUGCCCUUGGUUCGGAAUAACAGUUAGAAAUGACUGCUAAUACCGGAUAAUGUCUUCGGACCAAAGAUUUAUCGCCCGGGGAUGAGCCCCGCGUAGGAUUAGCUAGUUGGUGAGGUAAAGGCUCACCAAGGCGACGAUCCUUAGCUGGUCUGAGAGGACGACCAGCCACACUGGAACUGAGACACGGUCCAGACUCCUACGGGAGGCAGCAGUGGGGGAAUUUUGGACAAUGGGCGCAAGCCUGAUCCAGCCAUUCCGCGUGAGUGAAGAAGGCC